RNAcentral lists this ribosomal RNA (247 nucleotides) under uncultured Staphylococcus sp. RNAcentral describes it as "partial 16S ribosomal RNA". It matches the Rfam family "Bacterial small subunit ribosomal RNA", at positions 524 to 769 of the family's 1533-position model. Lineage: Bacteria; Bacillati; Bacillota; Bacilli; Caryophanales; Staphylococcaceae. The record is from RNAcentral.
UACGUAGGUGGCAAGCGUUAUCCGGAAUUAUUGGGCGUAAAGCGCGCGUAGGCGGUUUUUUAAGUCUGAUGUGAAAGCCCACGGCUCAACCGUGGAGGGUCAUUGGAAACUGGAAAACUUGAGUGCAGAAGAGGAAAGUGGAAUUCCAUGUGUAGCGGUGAAAUGCGCAGAGAUAUGGAGGAACACCAGUGGCGAAGGCGACUUUCUGGUCUGUNAACUGACGCUGAUGUGCGAAAGCGUGGGGAUC